This is a non-coding RNA of Meleagris gallopavo (turkey), 2383 nucleotides long. The record is from RefSeq and is a predicted model, not a curated record. NCBI's taxonomy places the organism in Eukaryota, Metazoa, Chordata, Aves, Galliformes, Phasianidae.
AAAAAAAAAAGGACACUGCAUAGUGAAGAUGAACUUCUGUUGUAUUGUGUAAAUUAGUUUUGCACUUGUAACACUAAGAUGGUUUGAUAAAAAGAGAUACGUUUGCUUGAAGGAACACACAGUAUCAAAUGGAUUUCUCAUUAAAGGAAAUGGAGGCACAAACAGCUUUUACUCCUACAUUGCCUAUCUUACAUAGCCUUGAGCAUGUGAACACACUUCCAAUAAAGAAAAAGGAAAAGUCACUGGGAACCCACAGAAAGUUGCUCCUUUUUUUUUUCUCUUACACUUCCUUUCAUUUAUAUGUAAUACACGGGUACAUAAAUAGCCCAUGUAACCCUUCUCUUCACCCCCCUUCCGGCCCACCUUCUCUCAAUUAUUUUUUCCAACAGAUAAUCUGAUUUACAACAUAAUUAUGUUCACUAAUUAAUAAUGUGCAGCUCAGGAGAAGGAAAAUCGUUUAGUAUAGAAAAAUUAUGAUGUAGAAUUAAGGAUUCAGAUAUGUGAACAUGUUUUGGUGGAAUAGCAAGUUUCCUACAUUGUCUAACUGUUGGUAACUGUCCAUUAUUACACUUUAGAUCAUGAAUUUAGAGUGCUUUGAUUCAGUCCUUUGGCCAGCAUUCAUUUACCCAGCUUCAGUUUUCCCUUCUUCAAGCUACAAGUCCAAAACACAGUGUACUUCUACAUUUAUUGACUUCAGCAAUAGGACUUGAUGCCUUAGAAAUGUCAUUAUAUGCAAAAUGUCUGCAGAGUGGGGAAGGUAGAAUAACUGGUAGCAACUUUCCUCCAGUGGAAAGUGAAGUCCAAUGCAACAGUAUAAACCUUAAGGUUCUAGGGCAGAUCCCUAGAAAAUGUUCUGUUAUGUGCAUUGUGUUGUGGUGGGUGAGUUUUGUAAAUGAGCUCCUGAACAGUGUUGCCUUGGUGUAAUUGUUACAUAUGUAAACAUAUGUGAAAGGGGAGAAGGCAGUAGUAUAUAAGUCAUAAUGACUGGAAUUUCUUCUUUUAAAAUAUUCCCACAUGUUGAAAGCUACUUUCUUGCACAGUAAAUUGUAUCACAGCAAAUACAUUAUUGAUUAUGUUAUUGUAAAUCGUUUGCAGGUGAGAGAUAUUUUGUAUUAUUACUUGUUCAGAGUCCAACAAUCAUGAGAUAAAAAGGACAAAUUGGAAUUUCACUUGAUGGAGUCCUGCACAUCAGAUAUUCUUCUAUCUGAGGCUGCCAAUAGUGCAGCAGAAAUGCCUCAGUGGUACUAGGUAGAAAACUGACAGCAGCCUGCAUUUCUGGAACUGGACAACAGAAAUCAGACGUAGUGCAAGGGAUCAGUCAAGCCGGCAUGAACAGAUGCUGAAAUUCUCAGAGACCACAAUUUGUCAUCUUAAAAUAUUUCGGAGAAAAUCACUGCAGAAUUUCACAUUCAUCAUGGCUUUAUUUUUUAAUUAAAGAAGAACAGUAAUCAUUAAAAUUAGCUUUUGCAUAUUCAAAAAAUGCCUUUGACCGUAUGUUUGUGCAAAGAAGGAAGGAACUGAAGAGAUAAAUUCCAGUUAUCUCAGUUUUCGAUGGAAAUCGAAAAACGACUUAGAGAAGGUUAAGAAGUAAUGGGGUGAACGUUCUUGAGAAACACUGCAAAAUUACACGGAGCCAUCAUGUUGAACAUGCAGGGCCUAAUCUGAAACCUGCUGAGGUCAAUUAAAAUCUUGAUAUUAAUUUUCUCAGGUUUCAGAUUAACCUCAUCUUUAUUUUGUAGAAUUAUAUUAUGAUGGAUUUUUUCUAUCCUCAGGCUUACAUACUUUUGUCUUCACACUUUCUGUAAAGAUUCCCAAUAAUGCUAUUUUUAAUUUGAUGUUCAAGUUCUACUCCUUCCUGUGAGAAAUACAUUUAUAACACAAAUAGAAGCUGGAAAAUGAUUGUCUGAAGGUGGUGUUCUUAUACCCGCAGUGUUCUUUCUAAAAUGCCAAGUAUUGUUUGAUGGAAAUAUUUAAUAGUUUGACUCUAAAUUAUUUAAAUAAAUAUCCUUCAUUAAAUGAAAUUGCAGAAGUGGUUGUUGUGACUGUGUAAUCAUUUACUCAAAUGACUCAUCCUUGUAGAUAUUUUUCCUUUGUUUCAACCUCUAUUUUCACUAAUAUUUAAUAACUCUGGAUCUAUACUUCAGAACACUAGAUUAUUUUAGACUGUAUGUCUAUCAAAAUACUAAUUAGUCUUAUUUGUGAUACGUCAUUACAGUGAGUUAAGUUUAUCUGUGCUGUGCAUAGGUAUGGGUUUAGUACUGAUUGACUGUUAUUAUGUUGGCUCUGGCUACAUUCCAGCAGUGGUGCAGCUGUAUCUGUACAACUAUGUAUCACACCAAAAUCCCCACAAAUCCAAAACACAGCAGUCUGACUCAUGGGUAUG